AGUGAACGCUGGCGGUAGGCCUAACACAUGCAAGUCGAACGGCAGCACAGCAGAGCUUGCUCUCUGGGUGGCGAGUGGCGGACGGGUGAGGAAUACAUCGGAAUCUGCCCAGUCGUGGGGGAUAACGUAGGGAAACUUACGCUAAUACCGCAUACGACCUUCGGGUGAAAGAGGGGGAUCGCAAGACCUCUCGCGAUUGGAUGAGCCGAUGUCGGAUUAGCUAGUUGGCGGGGUAAUGGCCCACCAAGGCGACGAUCCGUAGCUGGUCUGAGAGGAUGAUGAGCCACACUGGAACUGAGACACGGUCCAGACUCCUACGGGAGGCAGCAGUGGGGAAUAUUGGACAAUGGGCGCAAGCCUGAUCCAGCCAUACCGCGUGGGUGAAGAAGGCCUUCGGGUUGUAAAGCCCUUUUGUUGGGAAAGAAAUCUUUCAGGCUAAUACCCUGGGAGGAUGACGGUACCCAAAGAAUAAGCACCGGCUAACUUCGUG
Molecule: ribosomal RNA, 490 nt
Filed under: uncultured bacterium
Lineage: Bacteria
Description: partial 16S ribosomal RNA
Rfam family: Bacterial small subunit ribosomal RNA
Source: RNAcentral